This 329-nucleotide unclassified non-coding RNA is filed under the name soil metagenome. RNAcentral's name for it is "partial contains 5.8S ribosomal RNA, internal transcribed spacer 2, and large subunit ribosomal RNA". The stretch from base 1 to 120 matches the Rfam family "5.8S ribosomal RNA", at positions 35 to 154 of the family's 154-position model. The record is from RNAcentral.
GAUGAAGAACGUAGCGAAAUGCGAUAAGUAGUGUGAAUUGCAGAAUUCAGUGAAUCAUCGAAUCUUUGAACGCACAUUGCGCCCCUUGGUAUCCCGAGGGGCAUGCCUGUUCGAGCGUCAUUUCACCACUCAAGCCUGGCUUGGUGUUGGGCGACGUCCCCUUUGGGGACGCGCCUCGAAACGCUCGGCGGCGUGGCACCGACUUUAAGCGUAGCAGAAUCUUUCGCUUUGGAAGUCGGGGCCCCGUCUGCCGGAAGACCUACUCGCAAGGUUGACCUCGGAUCAGGCAGGGAUACCCGCUGAACUUAAGCAUAUCAAUAAGCGGAGGA